RNAcentral lists this ribosomal RNA (492 nucleotides) under uncultured bacterium. RNAcentral describes it as "partial 16S ribosomal RNA". It matches the Rfam family "Bacterial small subunit ribosomal RNA", at positions 29 to 507 of the family's 1533-position model. The record is from RNAcentral.
AGUGAACGCUGGCGGUAGGCCUAACACAUGCAAGUCGAACGGCAGCACAGUAAGAGCUUGCUCUUACGGGUGGCGAGUGGCGGACGGGUGAGGAAUACAUCGGAAUCUACUUUUUCGUGGGGGAUAACGUAGGGAAACUUACGCUAAUACCGCAUACGACCUACGGGUGAAAGCAGGGGAUCUUCGGACCUUGCGCGAUUGAAUGAGCCGAUAUCGGAUUAGCUAGUUGGCGGGGUAAAGGCCCACCAAGGCGACGCUCCGUAGCUGGUCUGAGAGGGUGGUCAGCCACACUGGAACUGAGAAACGGUCCAGACUCCUACAGGAGGCAGCAGUGGGGAAUAUUGGACAAUGGGCGCAAGCCUGAUCCAGCCAUACCGCGUGGGUGAAGAAGGCCUUCGGGUUGUAAAGCCCUUUUGUUGGGAAAGAAAAGCAGCAGGUUAAUACCCCGCUGUUCUGACGGUACCCAAAGAAUAAGCACCGGCUAACUUCGUG